This 406-nucleotide ribosomal RNA is filed under the name uncultured bacterium. RNAcentral's name for it is "partial 16S ribosomal RNA". It matches the Rfam family "Bacterial small subunit ribosomal RNA", at positions 30 to 526 of the family's 1533-position model. The record is from RNAcentral.
AUUGAACGCUGGCGGCAGGCCUAACACAUGCAAGCCGAGCGAGCGGCGGACGGGUGAGUAAUGUAUGGGGAUCUGCCUGAUAGAGGGGGAUAACUACUGGAAACGGUGGCUAAUACCGCAUACUAUCGGAUGUACCCAUAUGGGAUUAGCUAGUAGGUGGGGUAAAGGCUCACAGAGGCGACGAUCCCUCGCUGGUCUGAGAGGAUGAUCAGCCACACUGGGACUGAGACACGGGCCAGACUCCUACGGGAGGCAGCAGUGGGGAAUAUUGCACAAUGGGCGCAAGCCUGAUGCAGCCAUGCCGCGUGUAUGAAGAAGGCCUUAGGGUUGUAAAGUACUUUCAGCGGUGAGGCGUUACCCGCAGAAGAAGCACCGGCUAACUCCGUGCCAGCAGCCGCGGUAAUUC